AUACGGAGGAUCCGAGCGUUAUCCGGAUUUAUUGGGUUUAAAGGGAGCGUAGGCGGACGCUUAAGUCAGCUGUGAAAGUUUGGGGCUCAACCUUAAAAUUGCAGUUGAUACUGGUUUCCUUGAGUACGGUACAGGUGGGCGGAAUUCGUGGUGUAGCGGUGAAAUGCUUAGAUAUCACGAAGAACUCCGAUCGCGAAGGCAGCUCACCGGGCCGGAACUGACACUGAUGCUCGAAAGUGCGGGUAUCAAACAGGAUUAGAUACCCUGGUAGUCCGCACAGUAAACGAUGAAUACUCGCUGUUUGCGAUACACUGUAAGCGGCCAAGCGAAAGCGUUAAGUAUUCCACCUGGGGAGUACGCCGGCAACGGUGAAACUCAAAGGAAUUGACGGGG
RNAcentral lists this ribosomal RNA (393 nucleotides) under uncultured bacterium. RNAcentral describes it as "partial 16S ribosomal RNA". It matches the Rfam family "Bacterial small subunit ribosomal RNA", at positions 523 to 918 of the family's 1533-position model. The record is from RNAcentral.